UACGGAGGGGGCUAGCGUUGUUCGGAAUUACUGGGCGUAAAGCGCACGUAGGCGGCUUUGCAAGUCAGAGGUGAAAGCCCGGGGCUCAACCCCGGAAUAGCCUUUGAGACUGCAUCGCUUGAGCAUCGGAGAGGUAAGUGGAAUUCCGAGUGUAGAGGUGAAAUUCGUAGAUAUUCGGAAGAACACCAGUGGCGAAGGCGACUUACUGGACGAUUGUUGACGCUGAGGUGCGAAAGCGUGGGGAGCAAACAGG
RNAcentral lists this ribosomal RNA (253 nucleotides) under uncultured bacterium. RNAcentral describes it as "partial 16S ribosomal RNA". It matches the Rfam family "Bacterial small subunit ribosomal RNA", at positions 524 to 776 of the family's 1533-position model. The record is from RNAcentral.